RNAcentral lists this ribosomal RNA (478 nucleotides) under uncultured bacterium. Its description in RNAcentral is "bacterial SSU rRNA". It matches the Rfam family "Bacterial small subunit ribosomal RNA", at positions 328 to 793 of the family's 1533-position model. The record is from RNAcentral.
CGCUAUCACUCCUACGGGAGGCAGCAGUGGGGAAUAUUGCACAAUGGGGGAAACCCUGAUGGCAGCCAUGCCGCGUGUGUGAAGUAAGGCCUUCGGGUUGUAAAGCACUUUCAGUAGGGAGGAAGGUACGUGUAGUUAACACCUGCACUAUUUGACGUUACCUACAGAAGAAGCACCGGCUAACCGUCCGUGCCAGCAGCCGCGGUAAUACGGAGGGUGCGAGCGUUAAUCGGAAUUACUGGGCGUAAAGCGCAUGCCAGGCGGCCUGUUAAGUCAGAUGUGAAAGCCCGGGGCUUAACCUCGGAAUUGCAUUUGAAACUGGCAGGCUAGAGUCUUGUAGAGGGGGUAGAAUUUCAGGUGUAGCGGUGAAAUGCGUAGAGAUCUGAAGGAAUACCAGUGGCGAAGGCGGCCCCCUGGACAAAGACUGACGCUCAGAUGCGAAAGCGUGGGGAGCAAACAGGAUUAGAUACCCUGGUAG